This 482-nucleotide ribosomal RNA is filed under the name uncultured bacterium. RNAcentral describes it as "partial 16S ribosomal RNA". It matches the Rfam family "Bacterial small subunit ribosomal RNA", at positions 28 to 507 of the family's 1533-position model. The record is from RNAcentral.
GAUGAACGCUAGCGGCAGGCCUAAUACAUGCAAGUCGAACGAGAUCACGAGGCUUGCUUCUUAUGACAGUGGCCCACGGGUGCGUAACGCGUAUGCACCCUACCUUAAUCAGUGGGAUAGCCCGAAGAAAUUCGGAUUAAGACCGCAUAAAAACACAGGCCAGCAUUAUCCAAUGUUCAAAUAUUUAUCGGUUUAAGAUGGGCAUGCGUGUCAUCGGCUUGUUGGCGGGGUAACGGCCCACCAAGGCGACGCUGACUAGGGGAUCUGAGAGGAUGACCCCCUAGACCUGUACUGAGACACGGACUAGACUGCUACGGAACGGAGCAGUAAGGAAUACAGUGGAAGGGAGGGUACUCUGAACCAGCCACGCCGGGUGCAGGAAGACAGCGGUCGGGAUCGUAAUCUGCUUGUAUUCGAGAAUAAACCUUUCUACGUGUAGGAAGCUGAAGGUACCGAAGGAAUAAGGACCGGCUAACUCCGUG